CCUACGGGAGGCAGCAGUGAGGAAUAUUGGUCAAUGGGCGAGAGCCUGAACCAGCCAAGUCGCGUGAGGGAGUACUGCCCUAUGGGUUGUAAACCUCUUUUGUCGGGGAGCAAAAGCCGGACGUGUCCGGCUGUGAGAGUACCCGAAGAAAAAGCAUCGGCUAACUCCGUGCCAGCAGCCGCGGUAAUACGUAGGUGGCAAGCGUUAUCCGGAUUUACUGGGUGUAAAGGGCGUGUAGGCGGGAAAGCAAGUCAGAUGUGAAAACCAUGGGGUCAACCUGUGGCCUGCAUUUGAAAAUGUUUUUCUUGAGUACUGGAGAGGCAGACGGGAUUCCUAGUGUAGCGGUGGAAUGCGUAGAUAUUAGGGGGAACACCAGUGGCGGAGGCGGUCUGCUGGACAGCAACUGACGCUGAGGCGCGAAAGCGUGGGGAGCAAACAGGAUUAGGUACCCGAGUAGUC
This 459-nucleotide ribosomal RNA is filed under the name uncultured bacterium. RNAcentral describes it as "partial 16S ribosomal RNA". It matches the Rfam family "Bacterial small subunit ribosomal RNA", at positions 338 to 795 of the family's 1533-position model. The record is from RNAcentral.